AUUGAACGCUGGCGGCAUGCUUUACACAUGCAAGUCGAACGGUAACAGGCCUUCGGGCGCUGACGAGUGGCGAACGGGUGAGUAACGCAUCGGAACGUGCCCAGUCGUGGGGGAUAACGCAGCGAAAGCUGUGCUAAUACCGCAUACGAUCUGCGGAUGAAAGCGGGGGACCUUAGGGCCUCGCGCGAUUGGAGCGGCCGAUGUCAGAUUAGGUAGUUGGUGGGGUAAAGGCCCACCAAGCCAACGAUCUGUAGCUGGUCUGAGAGGACGAUCAGCCACACUGGGACUGAGACACGGCCCAGACUCCUACGGGAGGCAGCAGUGGGGAAUUUUGGACAAUGGGGGCAACCCUGAUCCAGCAAUGCCGCGUGAGUGAAGAAGGCCUUCGGUUGUAAAGCUCUUUGUCAGGAGAAACAGCAGCUCUAACACAGUCUGCGAAUGACGGUACCUGAAGAAUAAGCACCGGCUAACUACGUGCCA
Molecule: ribosomal RNA, 480 nt
Filed under: uncultured bacterium
Lineage: Bacteria
Description: bacterial SSU rRNA
Rfam family: Bacterial small subunit ribosomal RNA
Source: RNAcentral